AAGGAUCUGUACACAAUUCCUGGAGGCUGAGAAUUUCCCAGUCCCCCCACCAUGGUCUGCAUAAUCACCAGACGUCACCACACCCGUUGAGCAUGUUUGGGAUGCUCUGGAUCGACGUGUAUGACGGUGUGUUCCAGUUCCCGACGAUAUCCGGUAUCGUCACACAACCAUUGAAGAGGAGUGGACAACUCUCUGUGAAGAUGUCACGCUGCAAUAAGGCAAAUGAUGGUCACACCCAGACACCAACUGGUUUUCUGAUCUACGCCAUAAAUUAGGGCCGAAAUCAAAUUUUUCAGUUGACUGAUUUCCUCAUAUGAACUGUAACUCCAGUAAAAUCUUUGAAAUGUUGUUCAGUACAAUCCUGUCUGUUUCCCCUCUCCCUGUAGAGAUUAGUAAAGAUGGCCUUCCAGGCAAACCUACCGUGAAGAGACCAGGUUCCUCACCUGACAUGAAACCUGCUGGUCCGAAGAAGGCCAGAUCAGACCAGUGAGGGGUUACCUUCCUCUCCCCUUGUUGUCCAUGAUGACUAUGACUGAACUGAAUACAAUACCGCAGGCUCCACCUAGACCCCGGACUCCAACCUCUACCAGAACCCCAUCUAACCCUACAACAGCACAUCCUGAACCCAGACCAGGCCCCCCAUCCUGAACCCAGACCAGGCCCCCAUCCUGAACACAGACCAGGCCCCCCAUCCUGAACACAGACCAGGCCCCCCAUCCUGAACACAGACCAGGCCCGACCACCCAUCAGUCACAAAAUGGCUGCAAAAUAGAUAAAGCUGAGAAACACCAGAUCCCCUGCCCUCAUCACUGGACGCCUUAUUUCAUUCUUCUGUAUAUUAUUAUUAUUAUUAUUAUUGAUAUUUACUUGUUUAAACCAUGGAACGCACAUAAUUAACUUUUUUAUUUUCUGUGGAAUACAAAAAAACGGUUCGGUCUAGUUUAACUGUUGUUGCUAGAUAGUUCUCUAGUCUCGUUCAUGCGUUUCCUCUCCCCUGUUAAUCUACACAAGCAAUAGACAACACAAAUAACUGCUCAUAAUAUAAUCUAGUGUAUCUCAUUAUUGGAGGAGGGGGGGAUGUGGGCAUCAGUAGGUUGCUUUCAGAAGAAUCAGACGGUUGCUAUAGGAGAUGGUUGGAACAUAAGAAGAUGACGUCAUUGUCACAUCGUCAUAGAGAUUUAAUAAAUACACCAAACGGACAGCAGGUCGCUGGGGAGAGGACAAGUGUUCCCCAUUCCAAGGGAAUCCUCAUCGACCAAUCAAUACUCUGUAUCUGUCCUGGCUGUCAUCUUGCUUUGUGACAUCACUGUGUUUUUAAUGUGUAGCUAUGUCAGAGAGGAGACUGAGUUAAAGGGUUAGCUUCAGAAAAAAUUACCUGUGGUUCAUGUAGGUUUAGGAGACUGCUUUAUUCUCCCUCUAGUUGACAAUCUACUCCGGUAGUUUCUCUGCUUUCAUUGGAGGAGUUUGUUGACAGUGAUUUGGCUGACUGCCAGGGUGUGACAGUGAUUUGGCUGACUGCCAGGGUGAAACAACCCAAUACGUAUUUUAUAACCUUAUUUGACCGUUUCAGAAUUGGUGGUGUAAGGAACGAUUUACGUAACAAGGACUUUUUGUACUUGUUCUGCUGCAGAACAUAAGAUUUGUCAGAAAAAGAGGAGUGGAUUGUUUUAUUUUUGUUUACUCAUUUUUUUUCUUAUUAAAGAAAUUAAUUUGCUGGAAAAAAAUAUUUAUUUUUACCCCCCUUUCAAUCUGUCUAUUCCGUAGUAGAAUUAAUUUGUUGGACUAUGGAAUUCAAAAGGUUAUUUUUAUUUUCCCAAGGCCUGUUUUCUUUUAUUUUCUUCUUUUUUUUUGUUGAUAAAUCCCAGUUUAUUCCGCCCCCAAAUUGUGGAGGAAGUUUUUCGUAUUGAUAAACAUUUACAUUUUGUUUUUGGUGUAUUAUGUGUUAAGGUAUGCAAUUGUGUAACGUGCCGAGUGUUUUCCACGUAGUCUUUUUAGAGCGGAACGGUUUUUAGUUACCUAGUGUGGAUAUGAUGGCAGGAAGAGUGAUUGAUUGGCGCAGCUAGUAUCGGCUCAGUUGUAAAUAAGUUCCUUCACGUAGCAAGAAGUUAAAAAUAAAAUAAGAAACGUUUAAAAAAUAUAAAAAAAACAUUUGAAAAAAAAAUGGCUUUUUAUAUAAUUAUCUGUAACAAAAUUGGCUUUUAUAUGUUUGUCAUCUCGGUUGCUUUGUCUAGAUAUAAAAAAAAUAAUAAUAAUUAAAAAGGAAAUGUCUUCCUGCUCUGUCUUGUUCUCGCUUCUGUUUUUCCUCAUUGACUAUAAUGCAGAACCCUUCUUCUUGAUAUCGUUGCUAUGGUUAUAAUGCCCAAGUUGCGUUGGCAGGCAGGGAGGUCAGGAGGUUGUAUUAAGAACCCAACAUAGAAAUAGAAUCUAGAAGCGAUUGUUGAACAGCAACAGCUAGCUGAUGGAGAUUUGAGCUUUGUUCAAUCUGAUCUGACAGAUGUUUCGGUAUUAAAUUGUUUGUGAAUAUUACUAUGAAAAAUAAAACUUUUUAGUGCAUCCUUUUCUUACAA
Molecule: long non-coding RNA, 2567 nt
Organism: Oncorhynchus tshawytscha (Chinook salmon)
Lineage: Eukaryota; Metazoa; Chordata; Actinopteri; Salmoniformes; Salmonidae
Source: Ensembl